This 253-nucleotide ribosomal RNA is filed under the name uncultured bacterium. RNAcentral's name for it is "partial 16S ribosomal RNA". It matches the Rfam family "Bacterial small subunit ribosomal RNA", at positions 524 to 776 of the family's 1533-position model. The record is from RNAcentral.
UACGUAGGGGGCUAGCGUUGUCCGGAUUUAUUGGGCGUAAAGAGCGUGUAGGCGGCCAGGUAGGUCUGCUGUGAAAACUCGAGGCUCAACCUCGAGAUGUCGGCGGAAACCAUCUGGCUAGAGUCCGGAAGAGGAGAGUGGAAUUCCUGGUGUAGCGGUGAAAUGCGUAGAUAUCAGGAGGAACACCGGUGGUGUAGACGGCUUUCUGGACCGUAACUGACGCUGAGACACGAAAGCGUGGGUAGCAAACAGG